CAACACAUCUCUACCAUUCCAAAAGUGUACAUCAUUGCCUAUGAUAUUUCCCUGGUUGUAAAAGAUUGGUUUGUCGGUGGUCAAGCUAGGACUACCGGGUAAGAUAGAAUCAGUCGAUGAAAGAAAUGUGUACAACAACAUCUGCAUGGCGGUACCUGCUUCAUGGCAGGUAAUGCUGCCAUGGUUAAUCAGUAUUCUUCAG
RNAcentral lists this long non-coding RNA (202 nucleotides) under Mytilus galloprovincialis (Mediterranean mussel). The record is from RNAcentral. Lineage: Eukaryota; Metazoa; Mollusca; Bivalvia; Mytilida; Mytilidae.